RNAcentral lists this ribosomal RNA (946 nucleotides) under uncultured Bacillota bacterium. RNAcentral describes it as "bacterial SSU rRNA". It matches the Rfam family "Bacterial small subunit ribosomal RNA", at positions 66 to 1015 of the family's 1533-position model. Lineage: Bacteria; Bacillati; Bacillota. The record is from RNAcentral.
ACGGGACCUUCGGGUCAAGUGGCGAACGGGUGAGUAACACGUAAAUAAUCUAACUAACAGACGAGGAUAACUUUGGGAAACUGAAGCUAAAAGUGGAUAGGAUAUAAUAACGCAUGUUAUAAUAUUUAAAAGUGCUAAGGCACUACUGAUAGAAGAGUUUGCGGAGCAUUAGCUAGUUGGUAAGGUAAAAGCUAACCAAGGCAAUGAUGCAUAGCUGGACUGAGAGGUUGAGCAGCCACACUGGGACUGAGACACGGCCCAGACUCCUACGGGAGGCAGCAGUAGGGAAUAUUCGGCAAUGGGGGAAACCCUGACCGAGCGACGCCGCGUGAGCGAAGAAGUAUUUCGGUAUGUAAAGCUCUGUUGUUAGGGAAGAAGAUUAUAUAUAGAGAAUGAUAUAUAAGAAGACGGUACCUAACUAGAAAGCCACGGCUAACUACGUGCCAGCAGCCGCGGUAAUACGUAGGUGGCAAGCGUUGUCCGGAAUUAUUGGGCGUAAAGAGUGCGGAGGCGGCACUAUAAGUCAGACGUAAAAUACCAUGGCUCAACCAUGACAAGCAUCUGAAACUGUAGAGCUAGAGUAUUAGAGAGGCAAGUGGAAUUCCUAGUGUAGCGGUGGAAUGCGUAGAUAUUAGGAGGAACACCAGUAGCGAAGGCGGCUUGCUGGCUAAAUACUGACGCUCAAGCACGAGAGCGUGGGGAGCAAACAGGGUUAGAUACCCUGGUAGUCCACGCCGUAAACGAUGAGUGCUAAGUGUCGGACAAAAGUUCGGUGCUGAAGUUAACGCAUUAAGCACUCCGCCUGGGGAGUACGACCGCAAGGUUGAAACUCAAAGGAAUUGACGGGAUCCCGCACAAGCGGUGGAGCAUGUGGUUUAAUUCGACGAUACGCGAAGAACCUUACCAAGUCUUGACAUACGAGGCAAAGCUAUAGAGAUAUAGUGGA